This 442-nucleotide ribosomal RNA is filed under the name uncultured Streptococcus sp. RNAcentral's name for it is "bacterial SSU rRNA". It matches the Rfam family "Bacterial small subunit ribosomal RNA", at positions 938 to 1382 of the family's 1533-position model. Lineage: Bacteria; Bacillati; Bacillota; Bacilli; Lactobacillales; Streptococcaceae. The record is from RNAcentral.
CAUGUGGUUUAAUUCGAAGCAACGCGAAGAACCUUACCAGGUCUUGACAUCCCGAUGCUAUUUCUAGAGAUAGAAAGUUACUUCGGUACAUCGGUGACAGGUGGUGCAUGGUUGUCGUCAGCUCGUGUCGUGAGAUGUUGGGUUAAGUCCCGCAACGAGCGCAACCCCUAUUGUUAGUUGCCAUCAUUCAGUUGGGCACUCUAGCGAGACUGCCGGUAAUAAACCGGAGGAAGGUGGGAUGACGUCAAAUCAUCAUGCCCCUUAUGACCUGGGCUACACACGUGCUACAAUGGUUGGUACAACGAGUUGCGAGUCGGUGACGGCGAGCUAAUCUCUUAAAGCCAAUCUCAGUUCGGAUUGUAGGCUGCAACUCGCCUACAUGAAGCCGGAAUCGCUAGUAAUCGCGUAUCAGCGUGACGCGGUGAAUACGUUCCCGGGCCUU